Molecule: ribosomal RNA, 139 nt
Filed under: Diaporthe eucalyptorum
Lineage: Eukaryota; Fungi; Ascomycota; Sordariomycetes; Diaporthales; Diaporthaceae
Description: partial 18S ribosomal RNA
Rfam family: Eukaryotic small subunit ribosomal RNA
Source: RNAcentral
GGUUCAGUGAGGCUUUCGGACUGGCCCAGGGAGGUCGGCAACGACCACCCAGGGCCGGAAAGUUAUCCAAACUCGAUCAUUUAGAGGAAGUAAAAGUCGUAACAAGGUCUCCGUUGGUGAACCAGCGGAGGGAUCAUUG